RNAcentral lists this ribosomal RNA (254 nucleotides) under uncultured bacterium. RNAcentral describes it as "partial 16S ribosomal RNA". It matches the Rfam family "Bacterial small subunit ribosomal RNA", at positions 524 to 776 of the family's 1533-position model. The record is from RNAcentral.
UACGAAGGGGGCUAGCGUUGCUCGGAUUUACUGGGCGUAAAGGGCGCGUAGGCGGUCAGCACAAGUCAGUUGUGAAAUCUCCGGGCUUAACUCGGAAAGGUCAACUGAUACUGUGCGACUAGAGUGCGGAAGGGGCAACUGGAAUUCUCGGUGUAGCGGUGAAAUGCGUAGAUAUCGAGAGGAACACCUGCGGCGAAGGCGGGUUGCUGGGCCGACACUGACGCUGAUGCGCGAAAGCCAGGGGAGCGAACGGG